This is a non-coding RNA of Durio zibethinus, 774 nucleotides long. NCBI's taxonomy places the organism in Eukaryota, Viridiplantae, Streptophyta, Magnoliopsida, Malvales, Malvaceae. The record is from RefSeq and is a predicted model, not a curated record.
UAAUAUAAUCAUUAUCAUGUAAUAAGUUUCAUAUUUUAUGCUAUAUUUUUUACUUGAAACAAAUCAAUACGAAUACAAAAAUCGCACUGAAAUUAUGCCAGGAAAUUGGAAAGUUUGAAGCUAUGUUGAAUUGAACAAUAAAAAAUUAAAAGAAAAGGUUCGAGUUUCAUGAGCAACCUUCCUCUCCUGUCUGCCAUGGAGGUUCAAAGUUGAAAGCUUUUCGGGAGUUAUGAACGUCAAUUUGCCUUGGCCUAAUUGCCAUUUGCUUGGGAAUCUUUGUCCCAAGGCGAAGGUGUGCUUGGACCAUGUGGUUGUUGAUUUUCCAGUACGGAACAUAUAGGCUCAACGGCCAUUAGACAAAACUUCGGUUGAACAACGCAUCAAAAUAGAGUUUCCCAGACCACAGACAGAGAGCAGAGACUUGACUGUUGUGAGCACCAUAACUUCAAUGAACAAUGAAAGAUGGGGAUUAUGAUGUCAUUAUCAGUUGAACAUCGACGUUCCCAUUGUCAAGUGCAUUUGUUUUCAUUCGAAUAUUGUAAAACGUGAAUUGAAAUUAAUAUUUUGAUUAGUAAUCGAGUUAGAUAUGAUUCUUAUCAAAAUUUAAAAGUUUAGGACACAUUCAUUAGUAUAAGUUCAACUAGUUUAAUAAAUAAUAAUUGUGUGAUUUGUUGAUAAAGUUAAUAUAAAAUAAAUGAGUACGAGAGAUACCAUGGUGCUUUUUGUUGAUAAAGUACAAAUUUUUGUAAUUAUUUUUUGUAAUUAGAAUUAAAA